Molecule: non-coding RNA, 277 nt
Organism: Camelina sativa (false flax)
Lineage: Eukaryota; Viridiplantae; Streptophyta; Magnoliopsida; Brassicales; Brassicaceae
Source: RefSeq, a predicted model, not a curated record
CAUGCUACUGGAGCUGUUUGGCAUCGCAGGCAGCUGUUUGUGGCUACGCCUACCACUAUUGAAUGUGUCUUUGUGGAUGCGGGAGUUUCUGAAAUUGAUAUAGAGACUAGGAAGAUGAAGGAAGAAAUGAAACUUAAGGAAGCCCAGGCUAGAGCAGUUGCAGAGCAUGGAGAGUUGGCCUUAAUCACUGUAGAAGGUUCCCAGUCUGCGAAGCAAGAAAGGAUAUCUUUAAGGCCUCCCAUGCUACAGGUGGUGCGUUUGGCUUCUUUCCAAAAUG